AACGAACGCUGGCGGCAUGCCUAACUCAUGCAAGUCGAACGAGACCUUCGGGUCUAGUGGCGCACGGGUGCGUAACGCGUGGGAACCUGCCCUUAGGUUCGGAAUAACUCUCCGAAAGGGGUGCUAAUACCGGAUAAUGUCUUCGGACCAAAUAUUUAUCGCCUUUGGAUGGGCCCGCGUUGGAUUAGCUAGUUGGUAGGGUAUAAGCCUACCAAGGAGACGAUCCAUAGCUGGUCUGAGAGGAUGAUCAGCCACACUGGGACUGGGACACGGCCCGGACUCCUACGGGAGGCAGCAAUGGGGAAUAGUGGACAAUGGGCGAAAGCCUGAUCCAGCAAUGCCGCGUGAGUGAUGAAGGCCUUAGGGUUGUAAAGCUCUUUUACCCGGGAUGAUAAUGACAGUACCGGGAGAAUAAGCGCCGGCUAACUCCGUG
RNAcentral lists this ribosomal RNA (433 nucleotides) under uncultured bacterium. RNAcentral's name for it is "partial 16S ribosomal RNA". It matches the Rfam family "Bacterial small subunit ribosomal RNA", at positions 29 to 507 of the family's 1533-position model. The record is from RNAcentral.